This 77-nucleotide transfer RNA is filed under the name Ramlibacter alkalitolerans. RNAcentral's name for it is "tRNA-Pro". It matches the Rfam family "tRNA". From Rfam's summary of the family: Transfer RNA (tRNA) molecules are approximately 80 nucleotides in length. The record is from RNAcentral. Lineage: Bacteria; Pseudomonadati; Pseudomonadota; Betaproteobacteria; Burkholderiales; Comamonadaceae.
CGGAGUGUGGCGCAGUCCGGUAGCGCAUCUGCUUUGGGAGCAGAGGGUCCAAGGUUCAAGUCCUUGCACUCCGACCA